RNAcentral lists this ribosomal RNA (305 nucleotides) under uncultured bacterium. RNAcentral's name for it is "bacterial SSU rRNA". It matches the Rfam family "Bacterial small subunit ribosomal RNA", at positions 334 to 656 of the family's 1533-position model. The record is from RNAcentral.
UUUUCCUACGGGAGGCAGCAGUGGGGAAUAUUGCACAAUGGGGGAAACCCUGAUGCAGCGACGCCGCGUGAGUGAAGAAGUAUUUCGGUAUGUAAAGCUCUAUCAGCAGGGAAGAAAAUGACGGUACCUGACUAAGAAGCCCCGGCUAACUACGUGCCAGCGGCCGCGGUAAUACGUAGGGGGCAAGCGUUAUCCGGAUUUACUGGGUGUAAAGGGAGCGUAGACGGCAGCGCAAGUCUGGAGUGAAAUGCCGGGGCCCAACCCCGGAACUGCUCUGGAAACUGUGAAGCUGGAGUGCAGGAGAG